This 426-nucleotide ribosomal RNA is filed under the name uncultured bacterium. Its description in RNAcentral is "bacterial SSU rRNA". It matches the Rfam family "Bacterial small subunit ribosomal RNA", at positions 359 to 776 of the family's 1533-position model. The record is from RNAcentral.
GAAUUGUUCGCAAUGGGCGCAAGCCUGACGACGCAACGCCGCGUGGAGGAUGAAGACUUUCGGGCCGUAAACUCCUUUCGACCGAGAUGAAUUCCCCUCGACCUAACACGUCGAGGGGGUGACAGUAUCGAGGGAAGAAGCCCCGGCUAACUCCGUGCCAGCAGCCGCGGUAAUACGGGGGGGGCAAGCGUUGUUCGGAAUUACUGGGCGUAAAGGGUUCGUAGGUGGCCUGCUAAGUCACACGUGAAAUCCCUCAGCUUAACUGGGGAACUGCGUGUGAGACUGGCGGGCUCGAGUGCAGGAGAGGAACGCGGAAUUCCAGGUGUAGCGGUGAAAUGCGUAGAUAUCUGGAGGAACACCGGUGGCGAAGGCGGCGUUCUGGACUGCAACUGACACUGAUGAACGAAAGCCAGGGGAGCAAACGGG